Molecule: ribosomal RNA, 254 nt
Filed under: uncultured bacterium
Lineage: Bacteria
Description: partial 16S ribosomal RNA
Rfam family: Bacterial small subunit ribosomal RNA
Source: RNAcentral
UACGUAGGGCGCAAGCGUUAUCCGGAAUUAUUGGGCGUAAAGAGCUCGUAGGCGGUUUGUCGCGUCUGCCGUGAAAGUCCGGGGCUCAACUCCGGAUCUGCGGUGGGUACGGGCAGACUGGAGUGCAGUAGGGGAGACCGGAAUUCCUGGUGUAGCGGUGAAAUGCGCAGAUAUCAGGAGGAACACCGAUGGCGAAGGCAGGUCUCUGGGCUGUAACUGACGCUGAGGAGCGAAAGCAUGGGGGAGCGAACAGG